CCUACGGGAGGCUGCAGUGGGGAAUAUUGGACAAUGGGCGAAAGCCUGAUCCAGCCAUGCCGCGUGUGGGAAGAAGGCCUUCGGGUUGUAAAGCACUUUCAGUGGGGAAGAAAGCCUUGGGGCUAAUACCCUCGAGGAAGGACAUCACCCACAGAAGAAGCACCGGCUAACUCCGUGCCAGCAGCCGCGGUAAUACGGAGGGUGCGAGCGUUAAUCGGAAUUACUGGGCGUAAAGCGCGCGUAGGCGGUCUGAUAAGCCGGUUGUGAAAGCCCCGGGCUCAACCUGGGAACGGCAUCCGGAACUGUCAGGCUAGAGUGCAGGAGAGGAAGGUAGAAUUCCCGGUGUAGCGGUGAAAUGCGUAGAGAUCGGGAGGAAUACCAGUGGCGAAGGCGGCCUUCUGGACUGACACUGACGCUGAGGUGCGAAAGCGUGGGUAGCAAACAGGAUUAGAUACCCCAGUAGUC
This 465-nucleotide ribosomal RNA is filed under the name Vreelandella stevensii. RNAcentral describes it as "partial 16S ribosomal RNA". It matches the Rfam family "Bacterial small subunit ribosomal RNA", at positions 338 to 795 of the family's 1533-position model. The record is from RNAcentral. Lineage: Bacteria; Pseudomonadati; Pseudomonadota; Gammaproteobacteria; Oceanospirillales; Halomonadaceae.